Molecule: ribosomal RNA, 700 nt
Filed under: uncultured bacterium
Lineage: Bacteria
Description: bacterial SSU rRNA
Rfam family: Bacterial small subunit ribosomal RNA
Source: RNAcentral
AGUGGCAGACGGGUGAGUAACACGUAGGAAAUCUACCCCAGACACGGGCAUAACUCGCCGAAAGGCGAGCUAAUUCCCGAUAUGCUCAAGGGUGAAAUGCCCAUUGAGGAAAGCUUUAGCGGUCUGGGAGGAGCCUGCGUCCUAUCAGCUUGUUGGUGAGGUAAUGGCUCACCAAGGCUAUGACGGGUAGGGGAGCUGAGAGGCUGAACCCCCACAGUGGCACUGCGACACGGGCCACACUCCUACGGGAGGCAGCAGUUGGGAAUCGUUCGCAAUGGGCGCAAGCCUGACGACGCGACGCCGCGUGAAGGAAGAAGGCUUUCGGGUUGUAAACUUCUUUUCUCAGGGACGAUACUGACGGUACCUGAGGAAUAAGGACCGGCUAACUACGUGCCAGCAGCCGCGGUAAUACGUAGGGUCCAAGCGUUAUCCGGAAUCACUGGGCGUAAAGGGUGGGUAGGUGGUUUGGUAAGUCUUUGGUUAAAUCUCCCGGCUCAACCGGGAACCUGCCAAGGAUACUGCCAGACUUUGAGGCCAGCAGGGGCAAGCGGAAUUUCCGGUGUAGGGGUGAAAUCCGUUGAUAUCGGAAAGAACACCAAUGGCGAAGGCAGCUUGCUAGGUUGGAUCUGACACUGAGCCACGAAAGCGUGGGGAGCGAAAGGGAUUAGAUACCCCUGUAGUCCACGCCCUAAACGUUGUC